This 504-nucleotide long non-coding RNA is filed under the name Equus caballus (horse). Its description in RNAcentral is "lncRNA (ENSECAG00000040544.3)". Lineage: Eukaryota; Metazoa; Chordata; Mammalia; Perissodactyla; Equidae. The record is from RNAcentral.
CUCUUUCAUGGGACAUUCGUGUGUUUUUUUGGAAUUCAUUCCGGUGGGAAGUGACACAGGCCACUCUCUUAGGCAGGUCCCAUGAAGACAGCUUGAGCAUGCUUACCUUCCGUUGCAUCUGUGAGUCGGUGGGAAGCACUUGCAUCCUCGCCACCCAGAAGUCUAGAUUGCUCCAGUUCAGCUCUCUCUUUACCUUCAUGGCAAAUGGCUGCACCUGGCCUCCUGCUUGCUAUAGUCACCAGCUGCAAAACAAAUAUAGAAAAGCAAGGCCUGAGGUCAUGCUAUGCAAACCAACCCCUGGGAUCCAUCUGGUCCAACAACCUCAGCUCAUUGAGAAAAGGUAUAGCUGGCCUGCAAAGUUAUCUCAACACCAUUUAUUAAAAGACCAACUUCAUCCCAGUGAUCUGAGACGCCACUUUGAUCAUAUGCUAGAUUGUUGCAUUUUGUUGGCUCUGUUUCUGGACUUCGUUUUACUCCACUGGGAUGCCUGUCUGUUCAUGUACC